Molecule: ribosomal RNA, 577 nt
Filed under: uncultured bacterium
Lineage: Bacteria
Description: bacterial SSU rRNA
Rfam family: Bacterial small subunit ribosomal RNA
Source: RNAcentral
GUAAUACCGGAUAAGCCCUUCGGGGGAAAGAUUUAUCGCCAAUGGAUGGGCCCGCGUCGGAUUAGCUAGUUGGUGGGGUAACGGCCUACCAAGGCGACGAUCCGUAGCUGGUCUGAGAGGAUGAUCAGCCACACUGGGACUGAGACACGGCCCAGACUCCUACGGGAGGCAGCAGUGGGGAAUAUUGGACAAUGGGGGCAACCCUGAUCCAGCCAUGCCGCGUGAGUGACGAAGGUCUUCGGAUUGUAAAGCUCUUUUGGCGGGGAAGAUAAUGACGGUACCCGCAGAAUAAGCCCCGGCUAACUUCGUGCCAGCAGCCGCGGUAAUACGAAGGGGGCUAGCGUUGUUCGGAAUCACUGGGCGUAAAGCGCACGUAGGCGGAUGUGUCAGUCAGGGGUGAAAUCCCGGAGCUCAACUUCGGAACUGCCUCUGAUACAGCACGUCUUGAGUCCGGAAGAGGUGGGUGGAAUUCCUAGUGUAGAGGUGAAAUUCGUAGAUAUUAGGAAGAACACCGGUGGCGAAGGCGGCCCACUGGUCCGGUACUGACGCUGAGGUGCGAAAGCGUGGGGAGCAAACA